GGAAUAUUGGGCAAUGGGCGCAAGCCUGACCCAGCGACGCCGCGUGAGGGAUGAAGGCCUUCGGGUUGUAAACCUCUUUCAGUAGGGAAGAAGCGAAAGUGACGGUACCUAAAGAAGAAGCACCGGCUAACUAUGUGCCAGCAGCCGCGGUAAUACAUAGGGUGCAAGCGUUGUCCGGAAUUAUUGGGCGUAAAGAGCUCGUAGGUCGUUUGCCGCGUCGAUUGUGAAAAUCUGAGGCUCAACCUCAGACCUGCAGUCGAUACGGGCAAACUAGAGUGUGGUAGGGGAGACUGGAAUUCCUGGUGUAGCGGUAGAAUGCGCAGAUAUCAGGAGGAACACCAAUGGCGAAGGCAGGUCUCUGGGCCAUAACUGACACUGAGGAGCGAAAGCGCGGGGAGCGAACAGGAUUAGAUACCCUGGUAGUCCGCGCCGUAAACGAUGGGCACUAGCUGUGAGAGCCUUCCACGGUUCUCGCGACGCAGCAAACGCAUUAAGUGCCCCGCCUGGGGAGUACGAUCGCAAGAUUAAAACUCAAAGGAAUUGACGG
Molecule: ribosomal RNA, 547 nt
Filed under: uncultured bacterium
Lineage: Bacteria
Description: bacterial SSU rRNA
Rfam family: Bacterial small subunit ribosomal RNA
Source: RNAcentral